Molecule: ribosomal RNA, 2000 nt
Organism: Clostridiales bacterium PH28_bin88
Lineage: Bacteria; Bacillati; Bacillota; Clostridia; Eubacteriales
Rfam family: Bacterial large subunit ribosomal RNA
Source: Rfam
AAACGAGUUAUUAAGGGCGCGUGGUGGAUGCCUUGGCGCCGAGAGCCGAAGAAGGACGUGGUGGGCUGCGAAAAGCUACGGGGAGUCGCCUGCAGGCCUUGAUCCGUAGAUAUCCGAAUGGGGCAACCCGGCCGGGGUCAUGCCCGGUCACCGCUACCUGAAUAUAUAGGGUAGCUGGGGGUAAGUGGGGGAACUGAAACAUCUAAGUACCCCGAGGAAGAGAGAUUAUUCCCUGAGUAGUGGCGAACGAAAGGGGAGGAGCCCAAACCCAACUGGUGUAAGGUUGCAGCCGUUGCCAGUUGGGGGUUGUGGGGCCGCAGAGGGGUCUUCUGCGAGAGACCCGGGUGGAUAGUCAACUUAGCUGAAGGCUCUGGAAAGGGCCGCGACACAGGGUGAGAGCCCCGUAGGUGAAGGGUUGGCUAGACCGCCUGUCUGAGGAACCCGAGUACCACGGACCACGUGGAAUUCCGUGGGAAGCUGGGGAGACCACUCUCCAAGGCUAAAUACUCUCGGCGACCGAUAGUGAACUAGUACCGUGAGGGAAAGGUGAAAAGCACCCCGGAAGGGGGAUGAAAAGAACCUGAAACCAUGCGCUUACAAGCAGUCGGAGGGGGAGACCCUGACGGCGUGCCUAUUGAAGAAUGAACCGGCGAGUUACUCUGUGUGGCGGGUUAAGCGCGUAGAGGCGCGGAGCCGCAGCGAAAGCGAGUCCGAACAGGGCGUUAGUCGUACGGAGUAGACCCGAAACCGGGUGAGCUACCCAUGGCCAGGCUGAAGCUCUGCUAAACCGGAGUGGAGGGCCGAACCUUUGUAUGUUGCAAAAUGCUAGGAUGAGCUGUGGGUAGAGGUGAAAUGCCAAACGAACCCGGAGAUAGCUGGUUCUCCCCGAAAUGCAUUUAGGUGCAGCCUCGGGUGUAUCCUUCUGGGGGUAGAGCACUGAAUGGGCUAGGGGGCGCGAGCUUACCAAACCUAAUCAAACUCCGAAUACCAGGAGGACUUGCCCGGGAGUGAGACGGCGGGUGCUAAGAUUCGUCGUCGAGAGGGAAACAGCCCAGACCGCCGGCUAAGGUCCCUAAGUCCAGGCUAAGUGUUAAAGGAUGUGGGAUUACCGAAACAGCCAGUAUGUUGGCUUAGAAGCAGCCACCAUUUAAAGAGUGCGUAACAGCUCACUGGUCGAGUGAUCCCGCGCCGACAAUGUAUCGGGGCUCAAGCCUGGCACCGAAGCCGCGGAUCCUUUAAGGGUGGUAGGGGAGCGUCGUAGCUGCGUUGAAGCCUCGCUGUAAGGGGGGGUGGAGGGGCUACGAGUGAGAAUGCCGGUAUGAGUAGCAGAAGGCGUGUGAGAAACACGCCCACCGAAUGCCCAAGGUUUCCGACGGAAGGUGAGUCCACGUCGGGUUAGUCGGGCCUAAGCCGAGGGCGAAUGCCGUAGGCGAUGGACAAACGGUUUAUAUUCCGUUACCGCUUGCAGAUGAUAAAGUCCCGUUUGGGGGACGCUGUGGGGUAGGCCGGGGGUGGCGUUGGAGAUGCCGCCUCCAAGCGCGCAGGCUCUUUCGGGGGCCGAGGCGUGGGGCAGCUGCGGGGCAACCCAAGGCGAUCCGGCUGAUCCCUGGGGCCAAGAAAAGCCCAUGCGGGGAAGCUGCAGGCGCCCGUACCGCAAACCGACACAGGUGGGCGGGGGUAAGUACCCUAAGGUGGACGGGAGACCCCUCGUUAAGGAACUCGGCAAAUUAGCCCCGUAACUUCGGGAGAAGGGGCGCCCUCUGGGGUGAUCUUUUAGUAGUGAGCCCUGGGGGGCCGCAGUGAGCAGGCCCAGGCGACUGUUUAACAAAAACACAGGUCCCUGCCAAAGCGAGAGCUGAUGUAUAGGGGCUGACGCCUGCCCGAUGCCGGAAGGUUAAGGGGAGAGGUGAUGAGCUUUGAACCGAAGCCCCGGUCAAUGGCGGCCGUAACUAUAACGGUCCUAAGGUAGCGAAAUUCCUUGUCGGGUAAGUUCCGACCCG